RNAcentral lists this ribosomal RNA (503 nucleotides) under uncultured bacterium. RNAcentral describes it as "bacterial SSU rRNA". It matches the Rfam family "Bacterial small subunit ribosomal RNA", at positions 30 to 526 of the family's 1533-position model. The record is from RNAcentral.
AUUGAACGCUGGCGGCAGGCUUAACACAUGCAAGUCGAGCGGAGAGAGGUAGCUUGCUACUGAUCUUAGCGGCGGACGGGUGAGUAAUGCUUAGGAAUCUGCCUAUUAGUGGGGGACAACAUUUCGAAAGGAAUGCUAAUACCGCAUACGUCCUACGGGAGAAAGCAGGGGAUCUUCGGACCUUGCGCUAAUAGAUGAGCCUAAGUCGGAUUAGCUAGUUGGUGGGGUAAAGGCCUACCAAGGCGACGAUCUGUAGCGGGUCUGAGAGGAUGAUCCGCCACACUGGGACUGAGACACGGCCCAGACUCCUACGGGAGGCAGCAGUGGGGAAUAUUGGACAAUGGGCGCAAGCCUGAUCCAGCCAUACCGCGUGUGUGAAGAAGGCUUUCGGGUUGUAAAGCACUUUAAGUGAGGAAGAAAAGAUAAUAGUUAAUACCUGUUAUCCGUGACAUUACUCACAGAAUAAGGACCGGCUAAUUCCGUGCCAGCCGCCGCCGUAAGAC